UACAGAGGUCUCGAGCGUUAGGCGGAAUCACUGGGCUUAAAGCGUGUGUAGGCGGAUCGGUAAGUACCUUGUGAAAUCCCACAGCUUAACUGUGGAACUGCUUGGUAUACUGCCAGUCUUGAGCCAGCUAGGGGCUACCGGAACAAAUGGUGGAGCGGUGAAAUGCGUAGAUAUCAUUUGGAACGCCAAUGGUGAAAACAGGUGGCUGGGGCUGUGCUGACGCUGAGACACGAAAGCCAGGGGAGCAAACGGG
This 253-nucleotide ribosomal RNA is filed under the name uncultured bacterium. RNAcentral describes it as "partial 16S ribosomal RNA". It matches the Rfam family "Bacterial small subunit ribosomal RNA", at positions 524 to 776 of the family's 1533-position model. The record is from RNAcentral.